Molecule: long non-coding RNA, 500 nt
Organism: Arachis duranensis
Lineage: Eukaryota; Viridiplantae; Streptophyta; Magnoliopsida; Fabales; Fabaceae
Exons: 3
Source: RefSeq, a predicted model, not a curated record
GGUAUCCCUUCUUUUUUUAAUUCCCACAAGAGCUUAGGAUUGGUUAAACAGAGCAAAUUGAAACUUUGAAUGUUCCCCUCAUGCAGGGAACAAUGCUGAUCGAUUCCUGCAUUGGAGCACUAGGUUCCAAAUUGUUCUAGGCGUGGAAAGGGGAUUGCAGUACCUUCAUGAGGAUUCACAUCUAAGAAUUGUUCACCGAGACAUCAAAGCAAGCAACAUUCUUCUUGAUCAUAAGUUUCAUCCCAAGAUUGGAGACUUUGGCCUUGCCAGGUUCUUCCCUGAAGACCAAGCUUAUCUUAGCACACAAUUCGCUGGAACAUUCGCCAAAAGGGCUGUUUUCGCCGGAGCCAGAACAUUAUCGAGGACCAAAGCUAAAAGUUGCCAUCAUUGGAGCUGGGCUUUCUGGCAUGUCAACUACAGUGGAACUCUUAGAUCAAGGACACGAGUCCCAGAAAAAUACACAGGUGUUGCAGAAGCUGAUUUUCUGGUAUUUCUUAUUA